RNAcentral lists this ribosomal RNA (525 nucleotides) under uncultured bacterium. Its description in RNAcentral is "bacterial SSU rRNA". It matches the Rfam family "Bacterial small subunit ribosomal RNA", at positions 984 to 1509 of the family's 1533-position model. The record is from RNAcentral.
ACAUCCAGAGAACUUAGCAGAGAUGCUUUGGUGCCUUCGGGAACUCUGAGACAGGUGCUGCAUGGCUGUCGUCAGCUCGUGUUGUGAAAUGUUGGGUUAAGUCCCGCAACGAGCGCAACCCUUAUCCUUUGUUGCCAGCGGUUCGGCCGGGAACUCAAAGGAGACUGCCGGUGAUAAACCAGAGGAAGGUGGGGAUGACGUCAAGUCAUCAUGGCCCUUACGGCCAGGGCUACACACGUGCUACAAUGGCGCAUACAAAGAGAAGCGACCUCGCGAGAGCAAGCGGACCUCAUAAAGUGCGUCGUAGUCCGGAUUGGAGUCUGCAACUCGACUCCAUGAAGUCGGAAUCGCUAGUAAUCGUAGAUCAGAAUGCUACGGUGAAUACGUUCCCGGGCCUUGUACACACCGCCCGUCACACCAUGGGAGUGGGUUGCAAAAGAAGUAGGUAGCUUAACCUUCGGGAGGGCGCUUACCACUUUGUGAUUCAUGACUGGGGUGAAGUCGUAACAAGGUAAGCGUACGUGU